RNAcentral lists this ribosomal RNA (390 nucleotides) under uncultured bacterium. RNAcentral describes it as "bacterial SSU rRNA". It matches the Rfam family "Bacterial small subunit ribosomal RNA", at positions 28 to 420 of the family's 1533-position model. The record is from RNAcentral.
GACGAACGCUGGCGGCGUGCUUAACACAUGCAAGUCGAGCGGUAAGGCCCUUUCGGGGGUACACGAGCGGCGAACGGGUGAGUAACACGUGGGUGACCUGCCCUUAGCUCUGGGAUAAGCCUGGGAAACUGGGUCUAAUACCGGAUAUGACUCCAUGACGCAUGUUGUGGGGUGGAAAGCCUUGUGCGGCUAGGGAUGGGCCUGCGGCCUAUCAGCUUGUUGGUGGGGUGANGGCCUACCAAGGCGACGACGGGUAGCCGGCCUGAGAGGGCGACCGGCCACACUGGGACUGAGACACGGCCCAGACUCCUACGGGAGGCAGCAGUGGGGAAUCUUGCGCAAUGGGCGAAAGCCUGACGCAGCGACGCCGCGUGGGGAUGACGGCCUCGG